AAGCCUCUAACUGUCUGAACUGUGGAGUUGAUGGGACAUGUCCCCAACUAACUCUGUUAACUAAAAAUAAAUAAAGUCUGAUGCAAUAAUAAUAGAAGGAUCAUCCUUGAAUAAAGAGGACUCACUUCUACGUCUACUGCUACUGACUAGGACUGAACUGCUGAGGGAAUUCUAGAUCACGUGCCUAUAGACCUAUGGUGUCAAAUAAAACACCAUAGAGAAAAUGAAUUAGUACGGGAAUGUAUCGAGUAUGCAGAUGAGGUAAGGCUAUAUGCAUGAGAUCAUGCAUGAAUAGUUACAUAACUGAAUAAUCAUGAGAGUACUGAACGAGAACACAUACAGGAAUGCACAAACCAUAAUCACAACCACCACAACCCUAGAUACUGAAACUCGGAUAGCGCUUUACUGUUAUCUGAACUUACUAAUAACACUGAGCUACUGAAUCACUGAAUCAUCUGAUACUGAUAACUGAUUAACUAAAUAUACUCACAUAAAUGACUAAAUUCUGAGCUCACUGCUCUCGAAUGAUGGAAUUGGAAUCAACCUCUCUCUAAUAAAUUACUUCAAAAUAUAUUAUUAAUGAUAAGAAAAUGAUCAUGUCCGAAUCUGACAACAAGAAUACUAAAUAGAAUUUGAGACUGCGAUCAAGCCUAUCUAUCAGGAAAACUCUGGAUCUAGUAACAAGAAUAGUUAACUAAAUCUGAGACUGAGAUCAAGCCUAUCUAUUGGGAGAUCUAUGAAUCUGAUAAUAAGAAUACUCAACUGAAUCUGAGACUGAGAUCAAGCCUAUCUAUCUGGAGAUCUCUGGAUCUAAUAACAAGAAUACUCAACUGAAUCUGAGACUGAGAUCAAGUCUAUCUAUCGAGAGAUCUCUGGAUCUGAUAACAAAUAACUGUAUAUGAGACUAAUCCUAUCUAAUGUAUGGUCAUGAAUCAAUGAAACAAUCUAAGCUCCUCACUGAGAUAGAUGAUUGUACCUCACUAUUUUGAUUUUUGAAGAUUGAUACUGAAAUUGUAACUGUGGGAAGUAGUUUCUUAACUGAUAUGCCUCGACCUCCCAUAGAUGGGGUCCAACUUAUAACUUCAGCUGGAAGGGUAUUAAUACCGUGCCACGGGUAAAGACCUCUCUGGUCAAGCCUCUCUAACGAAUGACCGUCGUAGAAAGUCAGCCUAAGGCAAUAUAAUAGUCAAACCUCUCUAACGAUGACAAUCUUUACUGAUGGGGAAUCCUACAUCCUAUACUGGCUACACAGUUCUAGAGUUUAGGGAUUUCUCCUAAUGACUCGGCCACUCUCUGAUGGGAAGCUGCCACCCCUUCCCUCUCUCGGUGCUAGCUCCUACUUCCAACUAAAAUACGUUGAACUGAAUUUCUUAAUUGAACACCAACUGAUCUAAAUCUGAUACUGAUCACAUUUCUCAAAUGAUCUGACUGAGUUUAGCUGAGUUCACAAGGUUCCGUAUCUGACGGAAUACUAUUGAAUCACGGUAUCUAACUGGCGAUACAGAGUUUGAAUAGAUUACUCGAUCAGUACUGAGGCCAGAACUGAACACUUGAAUACUUCAAGAUCUGAACUGAGUAGCACACUGAGGCUAGAUUACUAGCGAUACAGGGAUUACAGAGAUUACUGAUAUUUUUUAAGUUCUUUAUCUGUCGAAGGAUAUAGAUUCCUAUAAUUCACUAAGUUCUGAGAAUCAUGGCCUUACUAGGAUUAUCGUGAAAACUGACACAGGCUCUACACAACAACUGAAUUAUUGUGUAUAAAUACCCCCAAGACUUGAUAACAUAAAAGUAAAACAUAACCAUUCUUGACUAGUCAUAACCACGGUCAUUUAUUCAUCAUCACAAUUACUAAAGCAUCUCUUCAAGAACUUAGGAAUCAUAACAUGUAUUCAAUAUCACAAUCACUAAGGCAUCACUUCAAGCAUUUUAGAAAUCAUAAGCAUCUAUUCACCACCACAAUCACUAAGGCAUCACCUCAAGCAUUUAGGAAUCAUAAAUAUCUAUUCAUCAUCAUAAUCACUAAGGCAUCAUUUCAAGCAUUUAGAAAUUAGAAACAUGUAUUCAUCAUCACAAUCACUAAGACAUCACUUCAAGAAUAUAGGAAUCAUAGACAUAUAAUAGCGUAGGGGGGAACAUGCAAUAGGAUCAUACUCCAUUCAACAAGGUCUUGCAUCAAAUACUUCGCAUAUAUAUUAGUCUUGGCAUGUAUUGGAUAGCACCUGAUUUGGGAAAACUUCAUACUAUUAUGUAACAACUAACUUGUCAAGCACUUGGCAUGUAUUAAAGGCUUAGCAUGUUUCAAAGAGCACGUAAUUGGAAAAUUUACUACUAUCAUGUAUCAACUUGUUCACUAAGGCCUUUCAAAAAACAUUAGGCAUGCAUGGGUUUACACCUAAUUGGGGAUUUAAUGCUAUGAUAUCACAAUUCAUUCACUAAGGUAUUUCAUUAAACACUAGGCAUCCAUGGGCUUGCUCACAAUUUGGGGUUUCCUAAUCAACAUUCCAUAAUGGCCCUAAUUCUUCACAUAAGCAUUUUAUCAAACAUAUGGGGGGAAUUCUUUGCUUGUUCAACCAUUUCCUCACUUAAUUAGCAUGAACACAUCAUCUAAAAAGCAACUUAAAGAGGGUUUAUCAUGAACAUCACAUACUAGGGUCAAAGCUUGAAAACCUUGUAAACAAACAUGAAUCACAACUCAAUAAUAGCUGGAAUAUCAAUUUCAACUCACAUGAAUCAUUAAAACCCAUAAACACAAGAUCUUUGAAUUUUAGAAAAAAGGUUUUUUAACUUCUUGGAUGAAAGAAACCCAAGAAUUAACAUCUACAUACCUUGGGGAAACAAUUUUCUUAAAAGGUCUUGGAGAGAUUCUUGAUUCCUCUUGAUUUCUCUACAUCUCUAUUGAUUUUUCUUGAAGAACAAAUAAGGGUUUUGAUUUUGUAAAACCCUAGUUUUGAUGUUGAAGAUGGGAAAUGAGGCUAAGAGCCUUUUAUCGGGUAUAUAUAGAGGUUGAAAAGAGUGGAAAAUGACCAAAAAGACCUUGGAAUUAAACUAAAAAAUUCCAAUUUUACAUGUUGGCGCGAUGCACCAUAAUCGCACCAAUUCACUGGAAAUUGGACAAUUGGGAAACUGUAUAAUGGUACGACGCGGUGGCAAUUGCGUUGCCACCUUGGUUGCAAACUAAAAAGGCACCGCGAUAUGGUGAAAUCGCAUUGGUGCACUGAAAAUUGACAAUUCUAAAAUUAAGCUUUAGUGCAAUGGGCCAUAAUUGAGAAGGCUCACUGGAUUUUGAUGAUUGGUAUUUUGGCUAGCUCCGCAAUGUGCUAAAGUGCCAGGUGGCACACUGUCUCACUAAAAUAGCUUUAUCUCUUUGUCCGAGUAUCGGAUUUGGGUGAAUUUGGUAUCGAUUGAAAGAUUAUUCAAUACUCUACAUGAAAAAAAGUUGAUAUUAGGGAAAUUCUACGCGGUUCAAAGUAUUUCACACUUGGGAAGACACUUCUCAAACUUUUGGGACCGAAUUUUUACUUCACUGAACACGCUCUAAGGCUUAGACUAGGAGAAAAUUUUGCGGGGUAUUACAGUUCCAUCUGGUCACCCAAAUCAGUAGGUUGCUAUUUCUAGUGCUACCAGUGGUUAGCGUCUAAAAAGAUUAUAUGCUCUUCAGUCUCGCUAAGAUCAGGAAAAUUCUCCUGACGUAGUUACUAGUAUGUUACAGGUCUUUCACUUACAUGUUUAUGCUUUACUAGAACUUGGAGCUUUUCUUUCUUUUGUAACUCCGUAUAUAGCCAUCAACUUUGGAGCUAAUCCCGAAACUCUUGCAGAGCUCUUUUCAGUGUCUACCCCAGUAGACAUUUCUAUUAUAGACAGACAUAUUUACAGGAACUGUCGAGUUAUAAUAUCUCAGAAAGUUACCUCAGUUGAUCUCGUAGAGUUAGAGAUAAUAGAUUUUGACGUUAUUCUCAGCAUGGAUUGGCUCCAUUCAUGCUAUGCCUCAGCUAAUUGUAGAAACAAAAUAGUUUAUUUUCAGUUUCCAAAUAACUAGUUAUUGAAUGGAAGGGUAGUACUAUAGCUCUUAGGAGUCAGUUGAUCUCUUACCUUAGAGCCAAAACAAUGAUAUCGAAGGGGUGUAUUACCAUCUUGUGUGAGUCAAAGAUUCUACCUCAGAAAUUUCAACCCUCGAGUCAGUUUUAGUAGUCAGGGAAUUUCUAAAUGUGUUCCCUGAAGAUCUCCCUGAAGUUUCUCCUGAAAAGGAAAUCGACUUCGGAAUAAACCUUCUUAUAGAUAAUCAACCCAUAUCUAUUCCACCAUACAUAAUAGCUCCAGCAAAACUCAGGAGUUAAAAAAAUAGUUAAAGUAUCUCCUAGACAAGGGAUUCAUUAGACCCAGUGUCUUCCCAUGGGAUGCAUCUGUUCUAUUCAUGCGUAAGAAAGAUGAUUCUCUCAGAAUGUGCAUAGACUACCAUCAUUUGAAUAAAGUCAUAGUCAAGAAUAAGUAUCCACUUUCUAUAAUCGAUGAUUUAUUUGAUCAACUUCAGAGUGCCAGCUACUUUUCAAAGAUAGACCUCAGAUCAGGAUAUUAUUAGCUUAGGGUCAGAGAAUGUGACAUUCCAAAAAUAGCUUCCCAAACUAGGUAUGGUCACUUCAAAUUUCUAGUAUUUUCCUUUGGUCUUACCAAUUCCCCAACGGCUUUUAUGGACCUGAUAAAUCAAAUGUUCAAACAGUACUUGGACAUGUUUGUCAUAGUAUUCAUUGAUGACAUUCUUGUUUACUCUCAUAGUACUUCAGACUUUUAGAGCUCAUAAGUUGUUUGCUAAAUUCAGUAAGUGUGAAUUUUGGCUAAGAUCAGUAGCUUUUCUUGGCUAUAUCAUUUCUGGUGAUGGCAUUAGAGUUGAUCCUCAAAAGACUAAAACGGUGAGAAACUGGCCUAAACCCAUCACUCUAUCAGACAUCAGGAGUUUCUUCAAUUUAACUGGCUAUUACCGUCAAUUUACUGAAGGUUUUUAUUCUAUUGCAUCCCCCAAGUCUAAAUUAACUUAGAAGAAAGUUAAGUUUCAAAGGUCAGAUUCAUGCGAGAAGAGUUUUCAGGAGUUGAAGAAUCGACUCACCUUAGCCUCAGUCUUGACUCUACUAGAUGGUUCAAAUAUUUGUUAUGUACUAUGAUGCAUCUAGGGUAGGUUUAGGUUGUGUCCUCAUACAGAGAGGUAAGGUCAUAGCCUACACCUCCAUACAGCUUAAACCCCAUGAAAAGAAUUACCCUACUCAUAAUCUUGAGUUAGCAGCUGUAGUAUUUCCCUUAAAGAUUUAGAGGCAUUACUUGUAUGGGGUGAUCACAAAAGCCUUCAGUAUGUAUUCUCUCAGAAAGAUUUGAAUAUGUGCCAGAGAAGGUUGUUAGGAUUAUUAAAGGAUUAUGACAUAAGUGUUUUGUAUCAUCUGGGCAAGGCCAAUGUAGUAGUUGAUGCUCUCAGUAGAUUAUCCAUGGGUAGUGUAGCUCAUGUUGAGGAUGGUAAGAAGCAGUUAGCUCAGGAAGUCCAUCUGCUUGCCUGACUAGGUGUCUUCUUAGUAAACUUAGCAGAGGGUAGUGUAUAGGUGCAGAAUAGCAUUUAAUCAUCUCUAGUUUUCAAGGUGAAGAAAACGCAGGAUAGAGAUCCCAAUCUAGUUAAGUUGAAAGGAGUAGUUAGAGAUCAGAAAGUAAAGGUUUUCUCUUAAGGAGGAGAUGGGAUAGUGUGUUAUGUUGUUAGGGUAGAUUGUGUGUGCCUGGUAUAGAUGACUUGAGGCAACGAAUUUUCGCAGAAGCGCAUGGUGCAAGUUACUCUAUUCAUCUAGAGACCACUAAGAUGUACUACGAUUUCUAAGAUAUCUAUUGGAGGAGUAGGGUAAAGAGAGAUAUUACAGAGUUUGUUUCUAAGUGCUCUACAUGCUAGCAAUUUAAGAUUGAGCAUCAAAAACCUAGUGGGCCCAUGCAGGAGUUUAGUAUUUCCACUUGGAAUUGGGAGAAAGUGAACAUGGAUUUUGUGACAGGUUUGCUGCGUACCCGUUAUCAGCAUGAUUCUAUUUGGGUUAUCAUAGACAGGAUGACCAAAUCAACUUAUUUCUUGCCAGUCCAUACCUCUUAUUCAGCCUAAGGACUAUGCCAAACUCUAUCUCAGAGAGUUAGUUAGGAUGCACAGUAUUUCCUUAGCUAUCAUCUCUGAUAGAGGUACCCAAUUUACCUUUCAUUUCUGGAAAGCAUUCCAAAAGGGUCUUGAUACCCAAGUCCAUCUCAGUAUCACUUUCCACCCUUAGAUAGAAGGUCAAGAAGAAAGGACCAUUCAGACUCUUGAAGAUAUGUUAAGAGGAUGCGUUGUUGAUUUCAAGGGUUGUUGGGGUAACUAUUUGCCUUUGAUUGAAUUUUCAUACAAUAAUAACUAUUAUUCUAGUAUUUGUAUGGCUCCUUUUGUGGAUCUCUAUGGUAGGAGAUGGAGAUCUCCAAUUGGUUGGUUUGAAGAAGGUGAGGCCCUGACUUGGUGUUUGAUGCCUUAGAGAAAGUCUAGUUGAUCAGAGAAAGGCUUAGGGCUUCCCAGAGCUGACAGAAAUCGUAUGCUGAUGUGAGGACAAAGAAUCUCGAGUUUGAGGUCAGUGAUUUUGUGUAUUUAAAAAUCUCUCCCAUGAAAGGAGUGAAUAAAUUUGGCAAGAAAGGGAAAUUCAGUCCCCGAUAUAUCGGUCCCUUCAGAAUUCUCAAUUGUUUCAGAAAGGUAACUUACGAGCUUGAGUUGGUUUCAGAUUUAGCCUCAUACACCCAAUGUUCCAUGUCUCAUUGUUAAAAAAGUGUAUUGGUGAUCCAGCGGUAGUUGUUCUCUUAGAAAGCAAAGAGAUUCAGAACAUUCUUUCCAUUGAGGAAGUUCCAGUUGAAAUUCUUGAUCAUCAAGUUCAUAGACUAAGGAACAAAGAAGUUAUACUAGUCAAAGUUCUUUGGUGGAAUAAGUCCGUUGAGAGAGCCACUUGGGUUGCAGAGGCAGAUAUGCGGACCAAGUACCCUCAUUUUUUCUCCGCAAAUCCAAAUUCAGUAUAAGGUACUAAUCUUCUUAGGAUUUCUCUCUAUCAUGCUCAGUUUUAGUUGUACAUCAUGUUUAUGGCAGUCGUGCAUUUACAAAUUAGUUCGGUCAUGUAAUCCAUGCAUGAGAUAUGCAUGUUCAGUGUGUCAGCUCAGUCCAAUAGUUUUUCUCAGCUUAACUAGUUUCAUUCGAGGAUAAAUGAUCCUAAGAGAGAGAUAUUGGAAUACCCCAUAUUUCCCUAGCAUAAUCUAAGUCCCAAUACAUAAGUAUUAGUUUAUAAAAUUUUUGAAACACUCAUCGUUUGUCAGUUUAGAGCCUGCCAUUGCAUAGGAAAUUUAAUUAACUUUCCAACGAUAUAAAAUUCUCCCAAAUCCAACAACCGGGUAAGAAAUGUUGAUUUUAAGUUCCAGUCGAUAAACACCAUCAUUUUGACCCUUAGCGCAUCGCGAAGUCAGUGUAAAUAGCAAUUAUCAAUUUCCAGUGUUGCUCCAUGAUAGUGGCGCAUCGCGUCAUAGGCCCAGUUCAUAAUUGCCCAAUUCCAGUGAGGCAGCUUAAUCAUAGCGCGCUGCGCUAAUGGUGAAAAUCAGAAUCAAAGGGGCACCACAAUUUCUACGCGUCAGGCCUUCAUCCCAGUUCCCAAAGACACGACGCGAUAGCACCGCCUCGCGCUAGGUGCCCAUUUCAAAAAAAUUUGACGAAAAUUAAAAGUUUUGUCCAAGGAUAGAGCAGUUCUUUCCCUUAAUUUUAAUCCGCCCAGAUGUUCUUUUAAGCCCUAAAAAUAUUUUUGAACUCAUUAUUUUAAUUAUUUUCCCCAAAUCAAAAAGCUUUCUCUCCCAAAUCAAGAACCUUAGCUCUUCAAUUUCAAGGCCAUUCCUCGAAAACUUACCCAGAACUUCAAGAAAUUCACUACCCAAGGUAUGUUAGAUGUUCAUCCAUGGAUCCCUUUCAUCCAUGGAGCCCAAGUAACCUAUUUUAAUCACCAAGUUAUAAUCUUUCAAGUUGUUAUGUUUUAAAUUAUGAUUUUAUCCAUGUAUCUCUAUGCACUAUUGAUUUUAUACCAUGUUACCAUGAAAUUAUCAUUACUAUUCAAUUCUCCAUGCGUUAAUAUUAUUAUUUAUUGAAUUAAACCAUGAUUUAGUACUAUUAUGUUGAAUUCUUGUUACUUUUGUAAGUUCUAUGGCAUUCUUUUGAUUGUUUUAAACCAUGAACUACAAGUGUUUGAUAAAAUGUCUACUAGAGUGUUUUAUUUAACAAAAGCCUUCAUGUUUUAAUCUUCAAGCUUUAGUGUCAUUUUACAACUAUUGUUUUGAGUCCUGGGGGUAUUGAAUACCCGAAAUCCAUAGUUGUUUACUUAGCCUAGUAUCAGUACUUUACAGAAUAGUCUUCAGAACAUACAUGAGCAUUAUCAGAACAGUCAGUUACCAGUCAGAUGAACUCAGAACAGUCUAGUAUUUCAGUGUCUUUAAGUUGAGAGUAGGAUUUAGCAUCGAGCGAGUAUAGGGAUGACAGUUUCCCCGUCAGAUAGAUAAAGUCGUUAGUAGCAGUCCCUAUACUCCAGAACUACGUAGCCAGCGUAGGGUAUGAGAAGUCACCCAUCAGAUUAGGCUUGACUAUCUCGCAGGGGUCACCCGUCAGUUUAGGCUUGACACCUUUAGUCCUUUGGCCAUUAUAACAGUUUAGUGGAUCCACACAGCUAUUGUUAGUACCUGUGGCACGGUAUUAAUACCCUUCCAAUUGGGGUUACGGUUAGACUCCAUUUUGCUCAAAUUGGGGAAUGUCGGCUAGAUAAUACCUCCCAUAGUCUCAGAUAUAGUCUCAGUUAUAGUCCCAACUCAGUUAUUCAGUAUUAGUGUUGUUUGACCAAAGCAUAUAGAUUUCAGUUAUUUUAGAUUAUAGAUUUUACUUAGUUCAUGUUAUAUGCUUGGUCAUGCAUCCUCAGUAUUUAUAGAUUUUCAUGCAUUUUUAGUAUCUACAGAUUCCAUGCUCUUUAUUCAGUACUCCAUGCUUUACAUGCAUAUCCAGUUAAUUAUUAGAUCUGUUCAUGAAACCAUGCAUACCAGCCUACCUCAUUUAGCAUACCAGUACAUUCAAAGUAUUGAUCGUAUAUCUUUUCUUUUACGCUAUGAUGUAUUAUAUCAUAGGUUCUGAUGCUCAAUUCCUGGCUUGUGAUUAGACUUAUCAGAUCCUUAGCAGUAGCAGUGGUGAGUCCUCAUACUUCGAGGACAGACUUACUUUAUUUCAUGUCUCAGUUAGUAGUUAGUUGGAGUUAUUUGGGGCUUGUCCCAUCAACUCAUAUUCAGUCAGUUAGUUUUAGAGGCUUUUCAGACAUUAGAGUCAGUUAUUCAGUAUUCAGAUAUUACAGUUAGUUAUUUAGUUUAUCAUUAUUUUAUUAGAUUCAGUCAGUUGUUUCUAUAGACUCAUAUUUCAGUUUUAAAUUCAGUUAUUAAAACCUUAUGGCAUGUCAGUAUUCUUCCGAAUUUAUUCAGUUAUUAAAACCUUAUGGCAUGUUAGUAUUCUUCAGCAUUUAUGAUCAUGUUAUCCAGUGCUCACAGCAGGUAUCAUCUCAUGGGUUAGCUUGUGGUCCCUUAGGACUGUAAGUACUGUGUGACGACUAUGGGGUAGUCCCGGAUCAUUAUAGUAAAGAUUUUUAAUAAAGGGCAAAAAGUUUAAAUAGUGUUUUAUUCCUUAUUAUUUGUGUAUGUUAAUUUUUCACUCUAUUUCUUGGCAAAAGAUGUGUAGAUUUUAUUUUUAGUUUUCUACUUUUCUUUUUCAGUAAAUUGAUAUAAAAAUAAAUUAGAAAUGAUCAAAUGCAUAAAUAAAAUUUAACAUGAAUUAUUACUAUAUAUAUAUAUAUAUAUAUAUAUUUCUCAUGAAUAUUGCACACUGAGCUCAUUAGUGUUGCACAUGCAAAAAAACAAAAAAAAUAAAAUAAAGUUCAACUCUUUUAAUUCAUCUUUAUUUUUCUUUUUUCCUAAACAAUUAAUUAUUUUAUAAUUACACUCCCUCCAUAUAUUUUCGCUUUAUAUUAUGUAUGCAACUCUUUUUAAAAUAGAAACCACUUGACUAUACAGUUUAUCAACAAAUAAAUCAUAAAAUUUAUACAAAAUAUUCUCAAUUUCAAGCUUACUGAGUUUGUCUAUGUCAGUUUUUAAUAUUCAUUAAACGAUUAGAGAAUAAUAAUAAUGAUGUUAUGUAUAAGUUUUACACCUCCUAUCCUUCUCACUUAGAUUUAUCAUGAAUUGACGUGAAGCUUACUUGGCAAAAGUCUUUAUUUAAACAAAGAAAACAAAAGGAAAAGAGAUAGGUUGUUAUUUUUCCGGCUACUUCAUUCAGCAGCAACAUGAUUAUUUCGUCUAAAAUUUUUGAUAAAAAAUUUUUAAUUAAAAGAAAUACACGAAAAAUUAUCAAAGGGGAGAAUUCACUGCCAAUUGUUGAUUAUGUAUAGUUCAUCUAAAAUCACUAAAACUAUUAACUAAAAGAAAUAAAGAAUCACAGAAAAUAUAAUGAUAAUGAAUGCUAGAAAACAAAUUAAAUAAAAAUUAAUCAAAACCAAAAAUAAGAAGUAAACAUAGUGCUAGAUCCUUCAAUAUUAAUUACCAUGUCGUUGUCUAUUUCUUUUCACAUUUCAAAUUCUUGUUGGUCGGCAUGCGAAUGAUUGUUGAUAAAGAGAAGAAAAAAAUAAGAUGACCUUGUCUGAAAGUUCUUUGGCUUCUUGAUACAUGUCUUAAUGAAUCUAGAACCUAGAUGCAUCUGAUAUAAUGUAAUCACCACAUUAGAAUAGACCACAUGUAAGAAUGAAAAAAGCUAUAACUAUAGGGAACUAUUCAAGAAAGCCUAGGACAGUGAAUACCAAAUGCCACCAUAUAACUCAUUUUCAAAACAUAACUAAAUUAAGGUAGAUUCAGUAGAAGUGUCUUUUCUCAGAGGAAGAUUCAAUCGAAGUAACUUUAAACAUCACAAUACGGAAGUAACUAUCUCGAUGAUUUGCCUAUAAAAAUGUCUCAAGGAAUCAGCAAAAUUAAGAAAAAAAAAAUACUAAACACAUAUAAAGAAAAGACAUAAUUACAAAAAGUACAAACGACCACUACUAAAUGGAAAAAGAAAAACAUAAGAGAUUGGUUGAGUGAAUUCUCGGAGAUCUGAUAAAAAAAUAUUCCCACUAAAAAUUUCUUCCUCUGCAAUUAUUGAAUGUACAAACGUUUAUUAUCAUGUAACUUCAACAAGAAUCUAAAGGCUAGAACAUUUAUCUCUCAUCACAAGCACACAUCAGAUGUUCAAUAAUAAGAUUUAUUAUCAAAAUUGCAUGAAAUUAAACACCUAAAGAGAAGAACAAUAAAAUUAGUUUAUUGACCAACUAUGAUCUAUUAUCGAAAUUGCAUGAAAUUGGAUACCUUUGGUUUCCUCGUUUGAAUAACCAGCAAAUCCAAUUGAAGAUGCAGAACAAUGUAGAUGAUAGAACGUUGAUGCCGUUAUCAAAUACAAUACAUACUUAUUAUGUAAUAAGGAUAUUUUUCCUCUUUUCUUUACAUAUAUUUUAGUACUCUAUUUUAUACAUUUAUUCUCCAUAUGGAAAAAACAAACAAAAAAAAAC
This 11615-nucleotide long non-coding RNA is filed under the name Capsicum annuum. RNAcentral's name for it is "long non-coding RNA (CANN_LNC006248)". Lineage: Eukaryota; Viridiplantae; Streptophyta; Magnoliopsida; Solanales; Solanaceae. The record is from RNAcentral.